RNAcentral lists this long non-coding RNA (1147 nucleotides) under Bemisia tabaci. RNAcentral's name for it is "lncRNA ENSSSA2NGG006671". The record is from RNAcentral. Lineage: Eukaryota; Metazoa; Arthropoda; Insecta; Hemiptera; Aleyrodidae.
AUGUUCACCUGGAAUGUACAAGAACGUAGUUGGUGGCCUUCUUGCAGCCACUGGUCAAGGUGUGCCAAAUAUUGGACUGUGAUACGUUUUUCUUUCGUCAAUGAGUUGGUGAUGAAUACUGCGCCUUCAGCAGGAAGUAAUGGAGGUCCACCGAUGGCCCCACAGUGCCCUCUUCCGGCCAUCUGCCAGCAGAUAGACUCGCAGGCCUUCUAUCAAUGGUUCUUCGCCAGGCAACAUGCUUGGGGAUAAAAUCUUUGGCUGAAAUUCAGAAAUUCAAAAGUUUUUAAAACGAGCACAGCAAACAAUGAUUUAAAAGAAGUUAUUAUUAUAUUCCUGAAAAAGUCAAUUCAACGAAUUAAAUUCCAAGACAUGCAGAUGGUCUUGACUUGCAAAUAGUUUGAGGUAAGUUUUUAUUUUCUUUUCUUAUCUUAUGAUUCCAUCACUAAUUAUUGGUUGAACAGCGCUCAGCGAGAAAAGAGCAAAAUAUAUGGACUUGGAACAUAGAAACAUGAGUUCAAAGUUUCAACCCUUCCUAUAAUUUAAUGUAAAAACCGAACUUCCGAGUAAAUUUUCAUAUUCUAUAAAUAAUCUAUUUUGCUGACUUGUUUACACCAGGAGAAAACAUAUUUUUGAAUGACCACAAAAUGAUCUUAACUUUAUUUUUUUGAAAAAGUCAUUUGAUUUCCUACUGCUGAGAACUGUAGAAUUCAAUAUGUUGAUAUUAUUACAAAACACAGCAUGAGAUCGAUGAAAUCCACAUUUGGAAUGGAUACGUCCAGAAUCUUUUGUAAAAAGGAGCUGUUGGAGCUUACUUUUUGGAUGGGUGGGAGGCGCUUGGACUCUCUCUGGACUGCUUCGAGGGUCUCAAUGUGCAUAUGGACCACUCCAGGAAUCAUUUGGUGAAGACUCCGAAUAUGAUUGGCGCUUACGCCUCCUCAGUGCACACCUUGUCAACAAAGCGAGAGACGAGCCGAAUUACUGCUGUGCCUGUCUCCCCUGGGUCUUGGUCCUCAAAACCAGACUCUGCGUCUCCGCUAUCACUUUCUGCUACACUAGACCUGCAACAAUUUUAUUGAAAUAUUAAAAUUAAAAUUUGAGAUGUGACUUCCCUAAUUGCUGACUUUUCUUGACAGCUCAAGUAAGUUUC